AUUGAACGCUGGCGGAAUGCUUUACACAUGCAAGUCGAGCGGCAGCGCGGCCUUCGGGCUGGCGGCGAGCGGCGAACGGGUGAGUAAUGCAUCGGAACAUGCCCAGUCGUGGGGGAUAACACUUCGAAAGAAGUGCUAAUACCGCAUACGUCCUGAGGGGGAAAGCGGGGGAUCGCAAGACCUCGCGCGAUUGGAGUGGCCGAUGUCAGAUUAGCUAGUUGGUGGGGUAAAGGCCUACCAAGGCGACGAUCUGUAGCUGGUCUGAGAGGAUGAUCAGCCACACUGGGACUGAGACACGGCCCAGGCUCCUACGGGAGGCAGCAGUGGGGAAUUUUGGACAAUGGGGGCAACCCUGAUCCAGCCAUUCCGCGUGAGUGAAGGAGGCCUUCGGGUUGUAAAGCUCUUUCGGCAGGAACGAAACGGUGGGCUCUAACAUAGUCCGCUAAUGACGGUACCUGAAGAAGAAGCACCGGCUAACUACGUG
This 484-nucleotide ribosomal RNA is filed under the name uncultured bacterium. RNAcentral describes it as "partial 16S ribosomal RNA". It matches the Rfam family "Bacterial small subunit ribosomal RNA", at positions 29 to 507 of the family's 1533-position model. The record is from RNAcentral.